This 164-nucleotide ribosomal RNA is filed under the name Boesenbergia rotunda. Its description in RNAcentral is "5.8S ribosomal RNA". It matches the Rfam family "5.8S ribosomal RNA". From Rfam's summary of the family: 5.8S ribosomal RNA (5.8S rRNA) is a component of the large subunit of the eukaryotic ribosome. It is transcribed by RNA polymerase I as part of the 45S precursor that also contains 18S and 28S rRNA. Functionally, it is thought that 5.8S rRNA may be involved in ribosome translocation. RNAcentral also lists the same sequence under 1 other name. Lineage: Eukaryota; Viridiplantae; Streptophyta; Magnoliopsida; Zingiberales; Zingiberaceae. The record is from RNAcentral.
CAAAUGACUCUCGGCAAUGGAUAUCUCGGCUCUUGCAUCGAUGAAGAACGUAGUGAAAUGCGAUACUUGGUGUGAAUUGCAGAAUCUCGCGAACCAUUGAGUCUUUGAACGCAAGUUGUGCCCGAGGCCUUGUGGUCGAGGGCACGCCUGCUUGGGUGUCAUGG